AGUGAACGCUGGCGGUAGGCCUAACACAUGCAAGUCGAACGGCAGCACAGUAAGAGCUUGCUCUUACGGGUGGCGAGUGGCGGACGGGUGAGGAAUACAUCGGAAUCUACUUUUUCGUGGGGGAUAACGUAGGGAAACUUACGCUAAUACCGCAUACGACCUACGGGUGAAAGCAGGGGAUCUCCGGACCUUGCGCGAUUGAAUGAGCCGAUGUCGGAUUAGCUAGUUGGCGGGGUAAAGGCCCACCAGGGCGACGAUCCGUAGCUGGUCUGAGAGGAUGAUCAGCCACACUGGAACUGAGACACGGUCCAGACUCCUACGGGAGGCAGCAGUGGGGAAUAUUGGACAAAGGGCGCAAGCCUGAUCCAGCCAUACCGCGUGGGUGAAGAAGGCCUUCGGGUUGUAAAGCCCUUUUGUUGGGAAAGAAAAGCAGCAGGUUAAUACCCCGCUGUUCUGACGGUACCCAAAGAAUAAGCACCGGCUAACUUCGUG
RNAcentral lists this ribosomal RNA (492 nucleotides) under uncultured bacterium. RNAcentral's name for it is "partial 16S ribosomal RNA". It matches the Rfam family "Bacterial small subunit ribosomal RNA", at positions 29 to 507 of the family's 1533-position model. The record is from RNAcentral.